UACGUAGGAGGCGAGCGUUGUCCGGAGUUACUGGGCGUAAAGGGCGCGUAGGCGGCUCUGCACGUCCGUUGUGAAAUCGCCCGGCUCAACUGGGCGGGGUCAGCGGAUACGGCAGAGCUUGAGCAAGCUAGGGGGCAAUGGAAUUCCCGGUGUAGUGGUGGAAUGCGUAGAGAUCCGGAGGAACACCAGUGGCGAAGGCGGCUUCCUGGUCUGCGACUGACGCUGUGGCGCGAAAGCUAGGGGAGCAAACGGG
This 253-nucleotide ribosomal RNA is filed under the name uncultured bacterium. RNAcentral's name for it is "partial 16S ribosomal RNA". It matches the Rfam family "Bacterial small subunit ribosomal RNA", at positions 524 to 776 of the family's 1533-position model. The record is from RNAcentral.